Molecule: transfer RNA, 87 nt
Filed under: Roseateles sp.
Lineage: Bacteria; Pseudomonadati; Pseudomonadota; Betaproteobacteria; Burkholderiales; Sphaerotilaceae
Description: tRNA-Leu
Rfam family: tRNA
About the family: Transfer RNA (tRNA) molecules are approximately 80 nucleotides in length.
Source: RNAcentral
GCCCGGGUGGUGAAAUUGGUAGACGCAGCGGACUUAAAAUCCGCGGCCUGAAAAGGCGUACGGGUUCGAGUCCCGUCCUGGGCACCA